GCGGGCGUAGCUCAGUUGGUAGAGCAGUGGUCUCCAAAACCAAAGGUCGAGAGUUCGAAUCUUUCCGCCCGCGCAA
Molecule: transfer RNA, 76 nt
Filed under: Apibacter muscae
Lineage: Bacteria; Pseudomonadati; Bacteroidota; Flavobacteriia; Flavobacteriales; Weeksellaceae
Description: tRNA-Trp
Rfam family: tRNA
About the family: Transfer RNA (tRNA) molecules are approximately 80 nucleotides in length.
Source: RNAcentral